RNAcentral lists this ribosomal RNA (463 nucleotides) under uncultured bacterium. RNAcentral's name for it is "partial 16S ribosomal RNA". It matches the Rfam family "Bacterial small subunit ribosomal RNA", at positions 28 to 507 of the family's 1533-position model. The record is from RNAcentral.
GACGAACGCUGGCGGCGUGCUUAACACAUGCAAGUCGAACGGAAAGGCCUUUUCGGAGGUACUCGAGUGGCGAACGGGUGAGUAACACGCGGGUGAUCUGCCCUGCACUCUGGGAUAAGCCUGGGAAACUGGGUCUAAUACCGGAUAGGACCGCACUUUAGCGUUUGUGGUGGCAAGCGUUUUCGGUGUAGGAUGAGCCCGCGGCCUAUCAGCUUGUUGGUGGGGUAAUGGCCUACCAAGACGGCGACGGGUAGCCGGACUGGGAGGUUGAGCGGCCACAGCGGGACUGGGAUUGGGACCCGACCCCGACGGGAGGGAGAAGUGGGAGAGGGUGAACAAGGGGAACGAGCCUGAUGCUGAUACGGCACGUGGGGGAGAGCGGUGUAGGGGUUGGAGACGUAAUGCGCCAGGGACGAGGCGGUUUGUGACGGUACCUGGAGAAGAAGCACCGGCUAACUACGUG